AUGCGUUUUUCAUUCGUCUCAUGCACGCUCCCUCUCCCCGGCCGGCUCUGCCCGCUGCUGAGGCCGCCGGAGCCGGGGGCGCGCGGCGCUGCGGGGCCGGGGCCCACGCGGGGCUCCGCCGCGGCGGGGGCGGCUCUGCCCGGCGCCCCCUCCCUGCCCCCCCGAGCCGGGCUAACGGCGACGGAAAGGGAGGAUGUGGCGACUAAGGACAAAGGCUCACAAGCCGCAGAGGAGGAACAGCCCGGUCAGCUACAGGCACAGGCAAUUACAGGCGACAGCCUCCUGCACACAGACCUCGCUCUUCCUCUUCCAGCUCUUCAGUUCACUGCAGUGAAGUCUUCCCAAAGGCUUUCUGAAAUCGGAGGAGAUAAAAUAUCUGUAUUCGAGUCCGAACGCUUAACACCCAGAACGGCUCCUGGGAUCACGGUUCCAACAGGAUCGUGUACGCUGCUAACGUCGUCAGCCCCUGCAAGUCUAAAAAUGGGGAAAAUACGAUUUAUUGGGAGAGAAGGAGCAAACGGCACAAGGUGUUGUUUAGGCAAGAGAAGAGUUCACAUACUUCACAGCUUAACAGAACCUGAUGGCAUGGAAGAUAUUUUUCGCCCUCCCCUUAUCUUGAUUACGAGGAGGAAAGGUAAAUUAGCCUUUGUGCCCAAGCAAACAGGGACAUCCUUCUCUGCUGAAGGGAGAACAAUCUUUGAACCCAGCCGAUCACACAGCCUCAGACAGGAGAUCUUGAGGUCCUAGCUAUUGCUACAGAAGCCGCUGUGGUCUGAAAACCAGCGUGUAGUGGUUAAGUUCAGAACAACUGCAAUACCUUUAAAAUCUUUCAAAUGUCCAAAGCCUUAUCAUAAUUCUGGAAGAACAUCCAGUCCUACCUACACUGCAAGCCGUAAACCUAGUGAAGCGACAACAAGAAGUAAUCGGGUAUUUGCACAGAGCUGUUACGAGUUCGAAGGGACAAGGGAGGUUUUGUAGUUUUCCACUCGUUUCCGGGUGGUCAGGCACCCCGCAGUCGCACUGUACCACCACAUGACAGCUCCGGUGGAGGAGAAGACCUUCCCCGAGCAGCAGCCAGCAAGUCAGAGAGGUCAGGGAUGAGCACGAGGAAUUUCCUUGGACAAGAGCAGUGGUCGCCAGCCCCGGCUCACGGGCAGUGCCCCAUUCCUCCUCACGGUGCCAUUUUGCUUCCCCCAGACUCCCGUUUUCACAAGUGAACCGUUUGGGGGGGGGGGGGGCAGGUUCACUUAAGCAGCUCCGCUCUCCCUGGCCGUGCCGGUUGCUGCUCGCGUGGGGCUCCGCGCCAGCGGGCCGCGGCCAAGGCAGCGUUGGGCAGCCACCGCAGCAGGAGCCGCCCCCGGCACCYGCUGCCCCUGCCUCCCCGCAGCGUCAGCCCAGACUUCCACCCGCCUUCAGCGAGAGGGGAGCCACCCGCCUGUCCCGCACUCUGGUCUACAACCACGCGGGGUUUCUUCGUACGCACGCGCGAGCGUUUCCCCUUUUCUUUGUUUUCCCCCCCUCCUCUCCUUUCUUUGCAAGGGUAGGGGGAGGCGACACUCUUCCCCAGAAGGGCACGUUGUACAGCUCUGAAGCAGCAGCACACCAAAACCUCCCCAUCUUUGCCGUGAUCACCCAACCACAGCUUGAGGCAGGAAGAAGAGCUGCUUCGGCAGCUAAAAGCAGCUCAGACCAUGUUUUUGUUCACAACUGAGACAGCAGCUGGCCAACCACAACUGCUACCAUCUGGGGUGGAUUUUAUAACCUGUUCCUAUCGAAGCAGRCAAGCGCGGUGCCCGAGGAGCAGGCCAGCCCUCCCUGCCCAUCAGGUGGUGCAUGCUGCAACCACCAGCAGGUAGAUGCACACCAUGCAUCGCAGGCUCCAUUUCAUAUCACAAGCACCCCUCCGGCGCCGGUGCCACCCACCUCCCCGGUGACUGCCCACGCCAGCCCUUUGCCUCUCCUCUCUGUGAGCUGUCACGGGUUAAAGGCAAAGGCGCUUCAGAGCGCCCCGAGCACAUCACAAGUUUUGGUGGRUCCUUUUUCUAUUUUGAGACAGAACUAUUCUGAGAUGGAAACUGCUUUUACAGCCGAGUUUUAAUUUUAUUCUCUUUGCUGUGAAAUGCAAACCACUCAGCUCAAAAUUCGGAGCGAGUUGGUAUGGGGCUGGCUGAGUCAUCGCAUGCGACUGGCAACAGUCUCCGGUGAUUAGACCGAGGGCACUAAACCAUUUCAUUACGAGGCACCCCAGAGAGUCAGACCUGGGAAAGGAUCAGGCACUCGGACCAGUCCUAGCAGCACCUGUCAUUGAUGGUGCAAAAAUAGUGAGGAGAGCUACUUCUACCGUAUUGUGUCAUAAUAUGACUUCGCAGUAGGUUUCGGGAGUUUUGCAGCAUCACCACUGACUUGCCAUGAAACGCUGUAAAUACACAAAUGGGAAACCACAGCAACAUAGAGUUCUAAUGAAAUUCCAGAAUUCCAGCAUGAAAACUGGUCAAUUUGAAAUAUUCUUCCUGUUAGAAUUCUAAUAAAAAGACUUUUCUUAAAUGGUAGACCA
Molecule: long non-coding RNA, 2554 nt
Organism: Apteryx rowi (Okarito brown kiwi)
Lineage: Eukaryota; Metazoa; Chordata; Aves; Apterygiformes; Apterygidae
Source: Ensembl